Molecule: ribosomal RNA, 700 nt
Filed under: uncultured bacterium
Lineage: Bacteria
Description: bacterial SSU rRNA
Rfam family: Bacterial small subunit ribosomal RNA
Source: RNAcentral
UGCAAGUCGAGCGAGAAGUAAAGAAAUGAAGCUUCGGUAGAUUUUCAUUAUGGAAAGCGGCGGACGGGUGAGUAACGCGUAGGCAACCUGCCCUGUACAGGGGGAUAGCCACCCGAAAAGGUGAUUAAUACCCCAUGAUGCAAGAGAUACACAUGUAUCACUUGUCAAAGAUUUAUCGGUAUGGGAUGGGCCUGCGUCUGAUUAGCUAGUUGGUAGGGUAACGGCUUACCAAGGCAACGAUCAGUAGCCGACCUGAGAGGGUGAUCGGCCACAUUGGAACUGAGACACGGUCCAAACUCCUACGGGAGGCAGCAGUGGGGAAUAUUGCACAAUGGGGGAAACCCUGACGCAGCAACGCCGCGUGAAGGAAGAAAGCCUUCGGGUUGUAAACUUCUGUCCUAGGGGAAGAAACAAGUGAGGUUACCCUUGGAGGAAGCCCCGGCUAACUACGUGCCAGCAGCCGCGGUAAUACGUAGGGGGCGAGCGUUAUCCGGAAUUAUUGGGCGUAAAGAGUGCGUAGGUGGCAUCUUAAGCGCAGGGUUUAAGGCAAUGGCUCAACCAUUGUUCGCCUUGCGAACUGGGGUGCUUGAGUGCAGGAGGGGAAAGUGGAAUUCCUAGUGUAGCGGUGAAAUGCGUAGAUAUUAGGAGGAACACCAGUGGCGAAGGCGACUUUCUGGACUGUUACUGACACUGAGGCACG